UAGGUUUGUCCUAAGUCAAACCCCUUCAAGGUUGAUCAAAAUAAUAGAAAAAUAUAGCAACAUUUCCAACACAAGAUAAAUAUACUAUAAAAAUAUAUUCAAUAGUGGAUUUAAUGAAACAAGUUUGGUGUCGUAAAUGUUACUACAUCUUUCUAGAAACUUGGUUAAACUUAAAGAUGUUUGACUUAGGACAAACCCAA
RNAcentral lists this microRNA precursor (200 nucleotides) under Oryza brachyantha (malo sina). Its description in RNAcentral is "MIR1435 microRNA precursor family". It matches the Rfam family "MIR1435 microRNA precursor family". Lineage: Eukaryota; Viridiplantae; Streptophyta; Magnoliopsida; Poales; Poaceae. The record is from Rfam by way of RNAcentral.